This is a long non-coding RNA of Oreochromis aureus, 2409 nucleotides long. RefSeq lists it as uncharacterized. The record is from RefSeq and is a predicted model, not a curated record. Lineage: Eukaryota; Metazoa; Chordata; Actinopteri; Cichliformes; Cichlidae. The transcript has 3 exons.
GGUCUGGCUGCAGCCACUGGGGAGCGCCAUAUUGGGACCUCCACACUAACCGGAAACACGUGACCUCCACAGUAGCCGGAAACACGUGACCUCCACAGUAACCGGAAACACGUGACCUCCACAAUCGGCAGAAAUACGUUCCUGCGUGCAUCAUCGACUGUGGAAACCUUGCAAGUGGAUCGUAAAGAUGCACAUAUCAAUUUGGAAUUCUGCCUCCAAGCCAGAAUUGCAGGAAUGCACCACGUGUUGCCGAAGACUCUUUCACUGCCCUCUGUGCCCCACUUUCAGCCCUACUGUCAGGGCAAAGAUUGAGGAGCAAAUAAAUGGACACAUUAAAAAUGCUUUGCCUUUCAAAGACAAAAUGAUAUGCUGGUGCACUUUCACUGCCCUGUCUGUAACAUGACAAUCAUACAGCGUGGGGAUAUGGCAAGGCAAAUAUUGUCAUGUCAGCGUUUAGGACUGCUCCCCACUGCACUCUCCGUGGAGCCACAUCUCCCUCUCGAUGUCUUGUCUCCAGCAUCUAAACCAUUUUCUGAAUCUUUGGUAGAACAUUCAUGUGCUCUACCCUCUGUGCUCUACCCUCUGUGCUCUACCCUCUGUGCUCUACCCUCUGUGCUCUACCCUCUGUGCUAAAUGAAACUGUGGCUUGUGGAAAGUCUAUGGAAAUGAAAUGCCCUCACUGUGGUCUUAGUCUUCUUACAAAAAAAAAAAACAAGGCUCACAUGAUGAGGAGGCAUUCAAACAGAUCAAUAGAUGUUUGCCUGGCCUGUCAUCUGCAGUGUUUUUGUGUAGAGGGACUUCUUCCUCUUUGUUUUUCAGUUUGCAGAGGACAUGGAGCUCUUUUUAAAAGCAUGUGCUGACGAGCAGGGACUAUGGGUCAAUGCGAUGUUUGACAUUUAAUGGACAGAAGAAGGCACUAGCUGUUUGUUUGUGUUUUUUAUGUGUUGUUUGUUUUUCAGUGUACAGAAUUCCAGUUAAGCUUAUUAUAAAAUGUUGUUCACUUGUUUCCAUGUCCAUACUAAUAGUAAAAAAUUUAAGUGUAAAUGUAACAGCAUGGUUUAUACUUGUAACUUCAAAGUAAAAAGCUUAUUGUUGAUAUUAACAUUAAUGUAUUACCCUGUAAUUAAUAAUAUUUUUAUACAUUUUACGCAUUAACACUCUGGGCUCUAUCCUGUCCAUUUGUGGCCACUUCACUUCUUCUUUUUUGACGACUACACUGCAGUGGACCAAAAGAAUGACACAGGUUUGAUCUUAAGGAUCUAAUAGUUGUGUGUGUUUGUGCAUGACAUUGCAACGCAAAUAUGUAUUUGCAAGAUAGACUGGGAAUAAAUUAUGACCCAUCAAAUAUUACACAGGCUGCAGUGAAUUUUUGUUGAUACAGGUUAUUGACCUUUGUGUUUCCCAGUCAAACUUAGCUUUGACACACAUGCUAACACUUUUACUCUUGUGCAUUUCAUAACAAGACACCAUAGCCAAAAUAUUAACUCUAUCAAAAAAAUUCAAAGCUGCAGCUGCAGCACACACAGCAACAAACACUGUUAGUAAAUGUAUCCUGGGGUUUAUGCAGAUGCAAAAAGUGCUACUGCUGUAAGUAAGCCUAACAGCUUCCAGAUCACUUAUCUUUCUGGAAAGAUGGUAAGAAAGGCAUCACUGCUCAUCUCUACAAUCUCCCAGAUCUUGGAAUACAAUGCCUUUGUCCCAUGAAAAUCACUUCACAGUACUAAGAGUCCACUAAAACCUACAAAUGAAGAGUGAUCCUGGAAGAAAUGGGGUGUACACUAGUGACCUCAACAAUUGCAAGACAGCCUUGUCCCCGAUGCAAAUAUAUGAAAAAAUAAAAUACGAAGAUUUAUGAAACCAUUAGGACUUUAUCACUGUUUUAUCUGAAAAGUUACUGGUAAUAUAUAACCUAACUGGCAUUUAAAGUGUAAAAAACAGAAUGUAGAUAAAAUUUUGGUUUUGCUGAAAAGAACUGGAGCCAACUUUAUUUUUUACAAUUAUUGUAGCUGUUUUAAGACUGUAAAACCCCUCACUACAUGCUUUACACACUUUCCUCAGACAGGCACGAACAUUUUCACACUUUUUUCUUUUGUUUAAACACUCUUAAAGUUCAAACCUUCGUAGAAACACAAGUCCAUUAUAAAAUCAAACCGCGCAAAACGUUUGUUUCGUCGGCAUUGUUGUGUUUGUUGGGGAGAAAACUUACAAACAUACAGUAAAGCACUUCAGAGUUACAUUGCUAGCGAUCGAAGAUUUAUAUAAAUUCGACAAACUAAACUCAUUAUGUACUGUACAGCAGCGGUCCCCAACCUUUUUUGCACCCCGGACCAGUUUAAUGUCAGAAAAUAUUUUCACGGACCAGCCUUUAAGGUGUCGCGGAUAAAUACAACAAAAUAAAAUGAUACAAAG